ACUAUUUUGGCAGAUGAAUGUAGUAAAUUUAGAAUUUAUUUAUGUAAAGUUUUUUACAGAUAGUA
RNAcentral lists this transfer RNA (65 nucleotides) under Hospesneotomae nitida. RNAcentral's name for it is "Triatoma nitida tRNA-Leu". The record is from RNAcentral. Lineage: Eukaryota; Metazoa; Arthropoda; Insecta; Hemiptera; Reduviidae.